UACGUAGGGGGCUAGCGUUGUCCGGAAUCAUUGGGCGUAAAGGGCGCGUAGGCGGGCUCGCCAGUCAGGGGUGAAAGCCCACGGCUCAACCGUGGAAGUGCCUUUGAUACUGCGAGUCUCGAGGGAGGUAGGGGCGUGCGGAACUUCCGGUGGAGCGGUGAAAUGCGUAGAUAUCGUUUGGAACGCCAAUGGUGAAAACAGGUUGCUGGGGGUGUGCUGACGCUGAGACACGAAAGCCAGGGGAGCAAACGGG
RNAcentral lists this ribosomal RNA (253 nucleotides) under uncultured bacterium. RNAcentral describes it as "partial 16S ribosomal RNA". It matches the Rfam family "Bacterial small subunit ribosomal RNA", at positions 524 to 776 of the family's 1533-position model. The record is from RNAcentral.